UGAUUUUCGACUUUUCGGUGAUCUGUAUUCGUCUGUUUUGUUGUAUGUUGUAACUGAUCUGUUCUAUUGUUCGGUUCCAUUGAUUGAUCAAUGAGCCUGCAAUUGGGGAAGAACUGAACAAAUCUGAUGUGGUUUGAAAGAUAUAUAAGGAAUUACUAAAGAAGAAGAACCUACGACCAAUCUGAUCAUCCAUUCAAAGGCAAAUGGAAGUUUUAUGGUUAACCAUUCCAGUGGUUAGGUAUGACUGUGUGAGUUGAUAGAGGAUGGUGUGAAUGUAGAUUUUUAGAUAUAGAAGAAAAACUGAUAGUAUAGGAACUACAAGAAAACAAAUGAGGUCAAACCUCAUCUGAUUUUUUUGUAUGUAUAAAAAGAAAACAUGAUGACAUAUGAUAUAUUGAGAAUUAACAUUCUAUCAAUCUGAAUUCAGAAUUCUGAUUUGAUUCACAUAAUAAUACAAUUAUUGUCUUCUUCAUAGACGAUAGUAUCAUUGUGGCAACCACCGCAGUAAUUCCCUGGGGAUCUGAUCUGCCCCUGCCAUUCCCUGUGGUAUCCUGGCAAUCCACAACCAUAGCCAACAUGAUAGCAACUGCUACAACUCCCUCCACAGUAUCCAUUACAAUGAGGAAUGAUCUCAAUGUUUAAUUUGGGAUUCAGACUUUCAGCAUUCUUUGCUUCUUUAAGUUUAGGUUUACCUUCGUCUUCUUCCUCUUUAGGUUUCUUUGACCCUUCUUCUUUUUUAGAUUUAGCUUCUUCCUUGGGUUUUGUUUCUUCCUUGGGUUUGGCUUCUGCUUUAGGUUUGGCUUCUUCUUUCGGUUUGGUGUUUGGGACUUCCUUCUUGUAAGGUGCGAUACUCAAAAUAUCAGACAUCUUCCCCACCUUGGCAAGGUUCUUCACGACUUUGGUCACAUCAAUGUCCCCGAUUAGUGUGACCGUGUUAUUUUUGGCGUCGAUUGCUACUUCAUCUACCCCUGUAUAAACCCUAAUUCACAUAUAUAUAUAUAUCGAUGCAUGCAUAUAUAUAACUACUAACUAGAAUUAAACUGACAUUUUUUUGUCACAGAUCGAUCAACUUACCAUGAACCUUGCUGAUGGCUUUCAGAACUGCAAUCUGACAACGCUCUUGGCAAAAGGAGGUUUUGAUCAAUAUCUUCUUCUGCAUAUUUUUCCUAUAUCCGAUCGGAGAAUGAAACUGACCGCCCGAUAUAUUAACUUGAGGUAUAGUCUAUUAGUCUGUAUACAGAUUUGCCUUUCUUCUUCAUUAAUCAAAAUAUUUAAUAUCAAUUAAUUCUCCAUUCAUGUAGAUAUAUAUCCACGUUAUCUCCACUUUCUCAAGAUCUAGUUUCAAUUCUUAAUGCAUCUUCUUUGCAUUUUCUAAAUAUUCUUUUCUUUUGUCCCACCUUCUCUAAUGAGUAAGACGUUGGUAUUCCAGCAUUAUUAUUGUUAAAAAUAACAUUAUCUAUCGAUUUAUAAAAUCAAAUGUGCCAAACUGAAACUGCUAAUGGAUUUAAAAAAAGGCGGCAUGCAUUGAAAAUUGAAAAUUGAAAAUUUAAAUGUUGGUGUGUGAAUAUGGGAUUAGUGUAAAACUGUAAAUGUGUGAUUGACCUUAUUUUAAUUUUGACAUUGUUUUAAAUUUAAUUUACUUGAUUUUUAUUUUAUUGGGUCAUGAUCCAUGCGGUCAUGAAUUUAUUGGAUGUCAGUGGACUUUUAUUUUUGAUAGUUUUAUAAUAUGAAAAUUUGACUUCGUUUUUGACAUAUUCAACACGACAUGUUUCCCGGGCCCCAUUAG
RNAcentral lists this long non-coding RNA (1786 nucleotides) under Zostera marina. Its description in RNAcentral is "long non-coding RNA (ZMAR_LNC001287)". The record is from RNAcentral. Lineage: Eukaryota; Viridiplantae; Streptophyta; Magnoliopsida; Alismatales; Zosteraceae.